RNAcentral lists this ribosomal RNA (577 nucleotides) under uncultured bacterium. RNAcentral describes it as "bacterial SSU rRNA". It matches the Rfam family "Bacterial small subunit ribosomal RNA", at positions 214 to 783 of the family's 1533-position model. The record is from RNAcentral.
GGUGGUUGAGGAUGAGCAUGCGCAUGAUUAGUUAGUUGGCGGGGUAACGGCCCACCAAGACGAUGAUCAUUAGGGGAACUGAGAGGUUGAUCCCCCACACUGGCACUGAGAUACGGGCCAGACUCCUACGGGAGGCAGCAGUAGGGAAUAUUGGACAAUGGGUGCAAGCCUGAUCCAGCCAUGCCGCGUGCGGGAAGAAGGCCUCCGGGUUGUAAACCGCUUUUGUCAGGGAAGAAAUCUUCUGGGCUAAUACCUCGGGAGGAUGACGGUACCUGAAGAAUAAGCACCGGCUAACUACGUGCCAGCAGCCGCGGUAAUACGUAGGGUGCGAGCGUUAAUCGGAAUUACUGGGCGUAAAGCGUGCGCAGGCGGUCUUGCAAGACAGGUGUGAAAUCCCCGGGCUUAACCUGGGAACUGCACUUGUGACUGCAAGGCUGGAGUACGGCAGAGGGGGAUGGAAUUCCGCGUGUAGCAGUGAAAUGCGUAGAUAUGCGGAGGAACACCGAUGGCGAAGGCAAUCCCCUGGGCCUGUACUGACGCUCAUGCACGAAAGCGUGGGGAGCAAACAGGAUUAGAU